Molecule: ribosomal RNA, 506 nt
Filed under: uncultured bacterium
Lineage: Bacteria
Description: partial 16S ribosomal RNA
Rfam family: Bacterial small subunit ribosomal RNA
Source: RNAcentral
GACGAACGCUGGCGGCGUGCCUAAUACAUGCAAGUCGAACGCAUUUUCUUUCACCGUAGCUUGCUACACCGAAAGAAAAUGAGUGGCGAACGGGUGAGUAACACGUGGGUAACCUGCCCAUCAGCGGGGGAUAACACUUGGAAACAGGUGCUAAUACCGCAUAAUUCCAUUUACCGCAUGGUAGAUGGAUGAAAGGCGCUUUUGCGUCACUGAUGGAUGGACCCGCGGUGCAUUAGCUAGUUGGUGGGGUAACGGCCUACCAAGGCUGCGAUGCAUAGCCGACCUGAGAGGGUGAUCGGCCACACUGGGACUGAGACACGGCCCAGACUCCUACGGGAGGCAGCAGUAGGGAAUCUUCGGCAAUGGACGCAAGUCUGACCGAGCAACGCCGCGUGAGUGAAGAAGGUUUUCGGAUCGUAAAACUCUGUUGUUAGAGAAGAACAAGGAUGAGAGUGGAAAGUUCAUCCCUUGACGGUAUCUAACCAGAAAGCCACGGCUAACUACGU